Molecule: non-coding RNA, 1370 nt
Organism: Lactuca sativa (garden lettuce)
Lineage: Eukaryota; Viridiplantae; Streptophyta; Magnoliopsida; Asterales; Asteraceae
Source: RefSeq, a predicted model, not a curated record
UCUCUGCAAACCCCUUCUUCUCCGAUCGACUUUCACUUCCUUCUAUGUGCAAACCCUAAUCAAACAUAACACAUUUGAAAUAGUAAUAUCUUCUUUCAUUUUCUCCCCUACUACUCUCUGUAAAACCUAGCAGCCGCCACCACUAGAAACAUGGAAAAUCCCCCAAAAUUUUGAAGUACCCCGCUCACUCCUCUCAAUAUCUCUUGCGCUUUCGUAUUUAUAGCCAGAGUUGGAGAGCGAAAAGAAGAAAGAAGAAAGAAAUGAUGUGAGGGUGUGAGGUGGCGUUCAAAGGUUGUCAAGGGGUUGUGAGGAGCUAUAGGGCUCAAGUUCGAGGUUGAAGAUUAGAAACCGAAGGUUGAAGAUCAGAUUUGGGAUUAGAUGAGUCGCUGGUACAACUGACGUCGUCGUGGUGUAGGUCAGAUGAGUCGCCGGAGUCCAGGCCAAGUAACAGUGUCGCUGGAGUUUCGGGAAGCUAACGAUGUCAUCAAUUCGAGUGCAGGUGAUGUGCCGAUUAUUGAUUUUGGAUCAAUUACUAACUGUUUGCCAUUUUCUUUCUAGAAAAUCAAUGUAGUGUCUGCUUCUUAAUCUUGUUCUCUAUGAGUACCAUUGUUACCGUCUCUGGUAAAAACAUCUAACCAUAUGCCAGAUUCGUUGAUUCAGGCUACAAAAGUACCUGUUAAAGAGUAUAAGUUUGAUGAAAAGAAGAUGGCAAAUGUGCAGUCUCAUCUGGAAAAAUUGGUUGCCAAUAACUAUUACUUGAACAGGUCUCCAAAAGAUGCGUACAGAUAAAUAUAUUAUUCAUGAAGUGAAGGCAAGAAUAGUUGAAUGGUAUAUGAUUAUGAACAGGGGCAAAUGCGUAAAACAAAUUAUGAUUUUUUUUAUUAUGGAUGGUGCACAGGACAAGGGCAGGCUGGUCAAGACUGGAAGCUUUACACAUUCAUAUCCAUUUUGUUGAAGAUCUGAUACCCCUCUUAUCUACAGAGCAGUUCCCAUGAUGAGCAGUUGCUUGAAGCAGCUUGGUGUCUUACAAACAUAGCUGCUGGAAAACCUAAAGAAACAAGAGCUUAAUUGCCUGCAUUACCUUUACUCAUUGCUCAAAUUGGAGAGUUCAGUGCCUGUUGCAGAGCAGUGUGCUUAAGCAUUAGGAAAUGUUGCAGGAGAAGGUGAAGAACCGAGACAAAUUCUGAUUUCUCAAGGGGCAUUACUUCCUCUUGCAAAAAUGAUGUUGCCAAAUAAAGUUUCAGUUAACGGGUGAACCAAGUUUCUCUGAAAUGGCGACAGCAUUGUCAGGGCCUCCUUAUAUCUUUGUUUCUACUCCAGCUUGUGUCCAAAGAUGUCUUUCAUCAGGUGUUCUUCAAGCAAAAUCCGUU